UACGUAGGGCGCAAGCGUUGUCCGGAUUUAUUGGGCGUAAAGAGCUCGUAGGCGGUCCGUCACGUCGGCUGUGAAAACCCGAGGCUCAACCUCGGGCCUGCAGUCGAUACGGGCAGACUAGAGUGCGGUAGGGGAGACUGGAAUUCCUGGUGUAGCGGUGAAAUGCGCAGAUAUCAGGAGGAACACCGGUGGCGAAGGCGGGUCUCUGGGCCGUAACUGACGCUGAGGAGCGAAAGCUAGGGGAGCAAACGGG
This 253-nucleotide ribosomal RNA is filed under the name uncultured bacterium. RNAcentral's name for it is "partial 16S ribosomal RNA". It matches the Rfam family "Bacterial small subunit ribosomal RNA", at positions 524 to 776 of the family's 1533-position model. The record is from RNAcentral.